RNAcentral lists this ribosomal RNA (484 nucleotides) under uncultured bacterium. RNAcentral describes it as "partial 16S ribosomal RNA". It matches the Rfam family "Bacterial small subunit ribosomal RNA", at positions 30 to 507 of the family's 1533-position model. The record is from RNAcentral.
AUUGAACGCUGACGGCAGGCCUAACACAUGCAAGUCGAGCGGAUGAAGGGAGCUUGCUCCUGGAUUCAGCGGCGGACGGGUGAGUAAUGCCUAGGAAUCUGCCUGGUAGUGGGGGAUAACGUCCGGAAACGGGCGCUAAUACCGCAUACGUCCUGAGGGAGAAAGUGGGGGAUCUUCGGACCUCACGCUAUCAGAUGAGCCUAGGUCGGAUUAGCUAGUUGGUGGGGUAAAGGCCUACCAAGGCGACGAUCCGUAACUGGUCUGAGAGGAUGAUCAGUCACACUGGAACUGAGACACGGUCCAGACUCCUACGGGAGGCAGCAGUGGGGAAUAUUGGACAAUGGGCGAAAGCCUGAUCCAGCCAUGCCGCGUGUGUGAAGAAGGUCUUCGGAUUGUAAAGCACUUUAAGUUGGGAGGAAGGGCAGUAAGUUAAUACCUUGCUGUUUUGACGUUAUCAACAGAAUAAGCACCGGCUAACUUCGUG